Molecule: unclassified non-coding RNA, 350 nt
Filed under: soil metagenome
Description: partial contains 5.8S ribosomal RNA, internal transcribed spacer 2, and large subunit ribosomal RNA
Rfam family: 5.8S ribosomal RNA (bases 1-120)
Source: RNAcentral
GAUGAAGAACGUAGCGAACUGCGAUAAGUAAUGUGAAUUGCAGAAUUCAGUGAAUCAUCGAGUCUUUGAACGCACAUUGCACCCCCUGGCAUUCCGGGGGGCAUGCCUGUCCGAGCGUCAUUGCUGCCCUUCAAGCCCGGCUUGUGUGUUGGGUCGUCGUCCCCCCCGGGGGACGGGCCCGAAAGGCAGCGGCGGCACCGCGUCCGGUCCUCGAGCGUAUGGGGCUUUGUCACCCGCUCGAUUAGGGCCAGCCGGGCGCCAGCCGGCGUCUCCAACCUUCUAUUUUACCAGGUUGACCUCGGAUCAGGUAGGGAUACCCGCUGAACUUAAGCAUAUCAAUAAGCGGAGGA